Epinephelus lanceolatus (giant grouper) is the source of this 514-nucleotide long non-coding RNA. RefSeq lists it as uncharacterized. The record is from RefSeq and is a predicted model, not a curated record. Lineage: Eukaryota; Metazoa; Chordata; Actinopteri; Perciformes; Serranidae.
GAAAUAAAUAAGUGGACAAGACAAAAGCAGUGUGCCGACACUGCAGAACAGCGGUCGGAUUUUGGCUGGAAGAUGGGCGGGGAGCACCGGGAGCUGGUGACAUAGGGAGCACCUUUACACCAUUCAUCUGCACACACUCCCCACACCACAGUGACACAGACCUGGUUAAAAAUUGGCAAACUAUCCCUGUGCAUCUCCAUGACAUCUGAGCCAUCCAUUGAUGAGGAGCAUGUGACGUGAUUUUAAGUGCCAGAAAAGCUAAUAAUAUCAUAUUCAAAGUCAAAAAGGUAGACUGUGUGAACAUAGCCGUGAUUUUACAGUUUGUGGUGUUGGAUUGCUCUGUACUGCAAAAUGAUCUGUAUAAACAGCCUUCAAAUGAUUAAAUCAACUCCUCUGUGGUUGUAAACAUUUUAUAAGCAUCAGGUUGUGUUGUCGCAUGGUUGUACUAUUAUUGCAUUAAACUGUAGAGGUGUUGAGUUAUUUUGUCCACAGUCUGUACUUCCUGCUGUGUUUA